Molecule: ribosomal RNA, 253 nt
Filed under: uncultured bacterium
Lineage: Bacteria
Description: partial 16S ribosomal RNA
Rfam family: Bacterial small subunit ribosomal RNA
Source: RNAcentral
UACGUAGGCAGCAAGCGUUGUUCGGAGUUACUGGGCGUAAAGGGUGUGUAGGCGGUUCUUCAAGUUUGGUGUGAAAUCUCCCGGCUCAACCGGGAGGGUGCGCCGAAUACUGAGGGACUCGAGUGCGGGAGAGGAAAGUGGAAUUCCUGGUGUAGCGGUGAAAUGCGUAGAUAUCAGGAGGAACACCGGUGGUGUAGACGGCUUUCUGGACCGACACUGACGCUGAGACACGAAAGCGUGGGUAGCAAACAGG